Molecule: long non-coding RNA, 226 nt
Filed under: Capsicum annuum
Lineage: Eukaryota; Viridiplantae; Streptophyta; Magnoliopsida; Solanales; Solanaceae
Description: long non-coding RNA (CANN_LNC013759)
Source: RNAcentral
UAAUUUAAUUUUUUUUAUUAGGAGCUUUUUGGAUCAAAUUAUGGUUUAUCAAACAAGGGGAUUAGGCUACAUAUGAAGCUACCAAAAAAAAGCUAAAGGCUUAAUAGGGGUUGACGAGGAUAAUGAAUAAUGGGUAGGUAAAAGAAGGUAUAAAAUAAGGCUAUAAAAGAAAUACCUAUAUCAUCUCCUAAACCACAUUCUUUAUUUCGCUUUAUACACAUCCCAG